AUGGUUCAGGAUGAACGCUGGCGGCGUGCUUAACACAUGCAAGUCGAACGAACCUUCGGGUUAGUGGCGGACGGGUGAGUAACGCGUGGGAAUCUGCCCUCAGGAGGGGGAUAACGGCUGGAAACGGCCGCUAAUACCCCAUAUGCCGAGAGGUGAAAUGAAUUUCGCCUGAGGAUGAGCCCGCGUCUGAUUAGCUAGUUGGUGAGGUAAGAGCUCACCAAGGCAUCGAUCAGUAGCUGGUCUGAGAGGAUGAUCAGCCACACUGGGACUGAGACACGGCCCAGACUCCUACGGGAGGCAGCAGUGGGGAAUUUUCCGCAAUGGGCGAAAGCCUGACGGAGCAACGCCGCGUGAGGGAUGAAGGCCUCUGGGCUGUAAACCUCUUUUCUCAAGGAAGAAGAUCUGACGGUACUUGAGGAAUAAGCCACGGCUAAUUCCGUGCCAGCAGA
RNAcentral lists this ribosomal RNA (449 nucleotides) under uncultured bacterium. Its description in RNAcentral is "bacterial SSU rRNA". It matches the Rfam family "Bacterial small subunit ribosomal RNA", at positions 19 to 515 of the family's 1533-position model. The record is from RNAcentral.